GACGAACGCUGGCGGCGUGCUUAACACAUGCAAGUCGAACGGAAAGGCCUGCAGCUUGCUGCGGGUACUCGAGUGGCGAACGGGUGAGUAACACGUGGGUGAUCUGCCUUGCACUUCGGGAUAAGCUUGGGAAACUGGGUCUAAUACCGGAUAGGACAGCCGUUUAGUGUCAGUUGUGGAAAGUUUUUUCGGUGCAAGAUGAGCUCGCGGCCUAUCAGCUUGUUGGUGGGGUAAUGGCCUACCAAGGCGUCGACGGGUAGCCGGCCUGAGAGGGUGUACGGCCACAUUGGGACUGAGAUACGGCCCAGACUCCUACGGGAGGCAGCAGUGGGGAAUAUUGCACAAUGGGCGGAAGCCUGAUGCAGCGACGCCGCGUGGGGGAUGAAGGCCUUCGGGUUGUAAACUCCUUUCGACAGGGACGAAGCUUUUGUGACGGUACCUGUAUAAGAAGCACCGGCUAACUACGUGCCAGCAGCCGCGGUAAUACGUAGGGUGCGAGCGUUGUCCGGAAUUACUGGGCGUAAAGAGCUCGUAGGUGGUUUGUCGCGUCGUCUGUGAAAUUCCGGGGCUUAACUCCGGGCGUGCAGGCGAUACGGGCUGACUUGAGUGCUGUAGGGGAGACUGGAAUUCCUGGUGUAGCGGUGAAAUGCGCAGAUAUCAGGAGGAACACCGAUGGCGAAGGCAGGUCUCUGGGCAGUAACUGACGCUGAGGAGCGAAAGCAUGGGUAGCGAACAGGAUUAGAUACCCUGGUAGUCCAUGCCGUAAACGGUGGGCGCUAGGUGUAGGGGGCUUCCACGUCUUCUGUGCCGUAGCUAACGCAUUAAGUGCCCCGCCUGGGGAGUACGGCCGCAAGGCUAAAACUCAAAGGAAUUGACGGGGGCCCGCACAAGCGGCGGAGCAUGCGGAUUAAUUCGAUGCAACGCGAAGAACCUUACCAAGGCUUGACAUACACUGCGAUGUGCCAGAGAUGGUGCAGCCUUCGGGGUGGUGUACAGGUGGUGCAUGGUUGUCGUCAGCUCGUGUCGUGAGAUGUUGGGUUAAGUCCCGCAACGAGCGCAACCCUUGUCUUUAGUUACCAGCAAGUAAAGUUGGGGACUCUAGAGAUACUGCCGGUGAUAAACCGGAGGAAGGUGGGGAUGACGUCAAAUCAUCAUGCCCUAUAUGUCUUGGGCUACACACGUGCUACAAUGGUCUGAACAAAGCGCAGCGAACUCGUGAGGGUAAGCAAAUCGCAGAAAACAGAUCUCAGUUCGGAUUGUAGGCUGCAACUCGCCUACAUGAAGUCGGAGUUGCUAGUAAUCGUGGAUCAGAAUGCCACGGUGAAUGCGUUCCCGGGUCU
Molecule: ribosomal RNA, 1340 nt
Filed under: uncultured bacterium
Lineage: Bacteria
Description: partial 16S ribosomal RNA
Rfam family: Bacterial small subunit ribosomal RNA
Source: RNAcentral